Camellia sinensis is the source of this 619-nucleotide non-coding RNA. The record is from RefSeq and is a predicted model, not a curated record. NCBI's taxonomy places the organism in Eukaryota, Viridiplantae, Streptophyta, Magnoliopsida, Ericales, Theaceae.
AUUAUUCGAUCUUCUCAUCUCCUUCCGAAAUACUCCAAGACUGAAAUACUCCCAAGAUAUACUCUAAGACUGAAAUACUCCCAAAAGGUGCUAGGGUUCCAUGUCUAUUCGAUCAUCUCCUUCCAGAAAUACUCCCAAGAGAGUCUGAAGAACACUUCAAAGGUGCGAUUGAAAGGUUUAAUCGAAGGUGCUGCUGAUUGAUUCUCUCCUUCGAAGCUGCAAUUGAAGAGGAGCAGCAGCAAUCGCAUCGUUGAUACGCCUGUAAUUUCCCGAGCCAUCUUGUGCAACUGUUGCAUUGAAGAUAAUGUUGGUCUGAAGUGAAAUGGUGGUUCCAGUUGAGCACAAAAAGAAGAACACAACGACGAUGAAGACGAUGGAUGAGGAAGAAGCAAACUUUGACUCCAUAGCAAGGAAUUAAAACUGAGAUCAACUUAAAGUAUAUGGAUAGAGUUUAUGAGUAUUUUGUAAAGAACGUAGUGACUUUGCAUGGUGUGCAUGGUUCUUAUAUAGAACAAUUUUACAAUAAGAAUUGCCAAAAAAAUUAAUUUUGGAUUGGAUAGACGACUGGACUUUCCAUCUUUCCAUAUUUGAUGUUAUACAUAAUCCAAUUUUUUUAUUA